Nerophis lumbriciformis (worm pipefish) is the source of this 317-nucleotide long non-coding RNA. RefSeq lists it as uncharacterized. The record is from RefSeq and is a predicted model, not a curated record. NCBI's taxonomy places the organism in Eukaryota, Metazoa, Chordata, Actinopteri, Syngnathiformes, Syngnathidae.
GCCAAAACUAAAAGUGAACGUGUUUCAUAUUAUGUGAACACCUGGAAUAAAGUCAUUAGGACACUUUUUUUUAUACACUUUAUGUUUUAUGAUGUCUCCAGCAGGCUCGCCAUCGAUCGUGACAUCGACACAACUGCGGCCGCGGAUCAGUUUCCACGAAGGAUGCGCAAGCUGUUCCAAGUCUGGACCAAGGGUGGACUCCUCCUCCUGGCCUCCCUAUGGACUGGACUUGAAGCGUAGCUGACUUCCUCUGCGCUGUGGCUCAUUUCCUGUCCAUCUGGUCCAGCACGCUCCGCAGACGACGGCAAGUUACCGUA